RNAcentral lists this microRNA (21 nucleotides) under Vriesea carinata. Its description in RNAcentral is "vca-miR166a-5p". Its record names the gene vca-miR166a-5p. The record is from miRBase by way of RNAcentral. Lineage: Eukaryota; Viridiplantae; Streptophyta; Magnoliopsida; Poales; Bromeliaceae.
GGAAUGUUGUCUGGUUCGAAA